GACGAACGCUGGCGGCGUGCUUAACACAUGCAAGUCGAACGGAAAGGCCCUGCUUUUGUGGGGUGCUCGAGUGGCGAACGGGUGAGUAACACGUGAGUAACCUGCCCUUGACUUUGGGAUAACUUCAGGAAACUGGGGCUAAUACCGGAUAGGAGCUCCUGCUGCAUGGUGGGGGUUGGAAAGUUUCGGCGGUUGGGGAUGGACUCGCGGCUUAUCAGCUUGUUGGUGGGGUAGUGGCUUACCAAGGCUUUGACGGGUAGCCGGCCUGAGAGGGUGACCGGCCACAUUGGGACUGAGAUACGGCCCAGACUCCUACGGGAGGCAGCAGUGGGGAAUAUUGCACAAUGGGCGGAAGCCUGAUGCAGCAACGCCGCGUGCGGGAUGACGGCCUUCGGGUUGUAAACCGCUUUCGCCUGUGACGAAGCGUGAGUGACGGUAAUGGGUAAAGAAGCACCGGCUAACUACGUGCCAGCAGCCGCGGUGAUACGUAGGGUGCGAGCGUUGUCCGGAUUUAUUGGGCGUAAAGGGCUCGUAGGUGGUUGAUCGCGUCGGAAGUGUAAUCUUGGGGCUUAACCCUGAGCGUGCUUUCGAUACGGGUUGACUUGAGGAAGGUAGGGGAGAAUGGAAUUCCUGGUGGAGCGGUGGAAUGCGCAGAUAUCAGGAGGAACACCAGUGGCGAAGGCGGUUCUCUGGGCCUUUCCUGACGCUGAGGAGCGAAAGCGUGGGGAGCGAACAGGCUUAGAUACCCUGGUAGUCCACGCUGUAAACGGUGGGUACUAGGUGUGGGGUCCAUUCCACGGGUUCCGUGCCGUAGCUAACGCUUUAAGUACCCCGCCUGGGGAGUACGGCCGCAAGGCUAAAACUCAAAGGAAUUGACGGGGCCCCGCACAAGCGGCGGAGCAUGCGGAUUAAUUCGAUGCAACGCGUAGAACCUUACCUGGGUUUGACAUGGAUCGGGAGCGCUCAGAGAUGGGUGUGCCUCUUUUGGGGUCGGUUCACAGGUGGUGCAUGGCUGUCGUCAGCUCGUGUCGUGAGAUGUUGGGUUAAGUCCCGCAACGAGCGCAACCCUUGUUCACUGUUGCCAGCACGUUAUGGUGGGGACUCAGUGGAGACCGCCGGGGUCAACUCGGAGGAAGGUGGGGAUGACGUCAAGUCAUCAUGCCCCUUAUGUCCAGGGCUUCACGCAUGCUACAAUGGCUGGUACAGAGAGUGGCGAGCCUGUGAGGGUGAGCGAAUCUCGGAAAGCCGGUCUCAGUUCGGAUUGGGGUCUGCAACUCGACCUCAUGAAGUCGGAGUCGCUAGUAAUCGCAGAUCAGCAACGCUGCGGUGAAUACGUUCCUGGGGCU
Molecule: ribosomal RNA, 1346 nt
Filed under: uncultured bacterium
Lineage: Bacteria
Description: bacterial SSU rRNA
Rfam family: Bacterial small subunit ribosomal RNA
Source: RNAcentral